RNAcentral lists this ribosomal RNA (2914 nucleotides) under Pseudomonas fluorescens. RNAcentral's name for it is "23S ribosomal RNA". It matches the Rfam family "Bacterial large subunit ribosomal RNA". The record is from RNAcentral. Lineage: Bacteria; Pseudomonadati; Pseudomonadota; Gammaproteobacteria; Pseudomonadales; Pseudomonadaceae.
GUUAUAUGGUCAAGUGAAGAAGCGCAUACGGUGGAUGCCUUGGCAGUCAGAGGCGAUGAAAGACGUGGUAGCCUGCGAAAAGCUUCGGGGAGUCGGCAAACAGACUUUGAUCCGGAGAUGUCUGAAUGGGGGAACCCAGCCAUCACAAGAUGGUUAUCUUGUACUGAAUACAUAGGUGCAAGAGGCGAACCAGGGGAACUGAAACAUCUAAGUACCCUGAGGAAAAGAAAUCAACCGAGAUUCCCUUAGUAGUGGCGAGCGAACGGGGACUAGCCCUUAAGUGGCUUUGAGAUUAGCGGAACGCUCUGGAAAGUGCGGCCAUAGUGGGUGAUAGCCCUGUACGCGAAAAUCUCUUGGUCAUGAAAUCGAGUAGGACGGAGCACGAGAAACUUUGUCUGAAUAUGGGGGGACCAUCCUCCAAGGCUAAAUACUACUGACUGACCGAUAGUGAACUAGUACCGUGAGGGAAAGGCGAAAAGAACCCCGGAGAGGGGAGUGAAAUAGAUCCUGAAACCGUAUGCGUACAAGCAGUGGGAGCAGACUUUGUUCUGUGACUGCGUACCUUUUGUAUAAUGGGUCAGCGACUUAUUUUCAGUGGCGAGCUUAACCGAAUAGGGGAGGCGUAGCGAAAGCGAGUCUUAAUAGGGCGUCUAGUCGCUGGGAAUAGACCCGAAACCGGGCGAUCUAUCCAUGGGCAGGUUGAAGGUUAGGUAACACUGACUGGAGGACCGAACCGACUACCGUUGAAAAGUUAGCGGAUGACCUGUGGAUCGGAGUGAAAGGCUAAUCAAGCUCGGAGAUAGCUGGUUCUCCUCGAAAGCUAUUUAGGUAGCGCCUCAUGUAUCACUGUAGGGGUAGAGCACUGUUUCGGCUAGGGGUCAUCCCGACUUACCAAACCGAUGCAAACUCCGAAUACCUACAAGUGCCGAGCAUGGGAGACACACGGCGGGUGCUAACGUCCGUCGUGAAAAGGGAAACAACCCAGACCGUCAGCUAAGGUCCCAAAGUUAUGGUUAAGUGGGAAACGAUGUGGGAAGGCUUAGACAGCUAGGAGGUUGGCUUAGAAGCAGCCACCCUUUAAAGAAAGCGUAAUAGCUCACUAGUCGAGUCGGCCUGCGCGGAAGAUGUAACGGGGCUCAAACCAUACACCGAAGCUACGGGUAUCACGUAAGUGAUGCGGUAGAGGAGCGUUCUGUAAGCCUGUGAAGGUGAGUUGAGAAGCUUGCUGGAGGUAUCAGAAGUGCGAAUGCUGACAUGAGUAACGACAAUGGGUGUGAAAAACACCCACGCCGAAAGACCAAGGUUUCCUGCGCAACGUUAAUCGACGCAGGGUUAGUCGGUCCCUAAGGCGAGGCUGAAAAGCGUAGUCGAUGGAAAACAGGUUAAUAUUCCUGUACUUCUGGUUAUUGCGAUGGAGGGACGGAGAAGGCUAGGCCAGCUUGGCGUUGGUUGUCCAAGUUUAAGGUGGUAGGCUGAGAUCUUAGGUAAAUCCGGGAUCUUAAGGCCGAGAGCUGAUGACGAGUGUUCUUUUAGAACACGAAGUGGUUGAUGCCAUGCUUCCAAGAAAAGCUUCUAAGCUUCAGAUAACCAGGAACCGUACCCCAAACCGACACAGGUGGUUGGGUAGAGAAUACCAAGGCGCUUGAGAGAACUCGGGUGAAGGAACUAGGCAAAAUGGCACCGUAACUUCGGGAGAAGGUGCGCCGGUGAGGGUGAAGGACUUGCUCCGUAAGCUCAUGCCGGUCGAAGAUACCAGGCCGCUGCGACUGUUUAUUAAAAACACAGCACUCUGCAAACACGAAAGUGGACGUAUAGGGUGUGACGCCUGCCCGGUGCCGGAAGGUUAAUUGAUGGGGUUAGCUAACGCGAAGCUCUUGAUCGAAGCCCCGGUAAACGGCGGCCGUAACUAUAACGGUCCUAAGGUAGCGAAAUUCCUUGUCGGGUAAGUUCCGACCUGCACGAAUGGCGUAACGAUGGCGGCGCUGUCUCCACCCGAGACUCAGUGAAAUUGAAAUCGCUGUGAAGAUGCAGUGUAUCCGCGGCUAGACGGAAAGACCCCGUGAACCUUUACUAUAGCUUUGCACUGGACUUUGAAUUUGCUUGUGUAGGAUAGGUGGGAGGCUUUGAAGCGUGGACGCCAGUUCGCGUGGAGCCAUCCUUGAAAUACCACCCUGGCAACUUUGAGGUUCUAACUCAGGUCCGUUAUCCGGAUCGAGGACAGUGUAUGGUGGGUAGUUUGACUGGGGCGGUCUCCUCCUAAAGAGUAACGGAGGAGUACGAAGGUGCGCUCAGACCGGUCGGAAAUCGGUCGUAGAGUAUAAAGGCAAAAGCGCGCUUGACUGCGAGACAGACACGUCGAGCAGGUACGAAAGUAGGUCUUAGUGAUCCGGUGGUUCUGUAUGGAAGGGCCAUCGCUCAACGGAUAAAAGGUACUCCGGGGAUAACAGGCUGAUACCGCCCAAGAGUUCAUAUCGACGGCGGUGUUUGGCACCUCGAUGUCGGCUCAUCACAUCCUGGGGCUGAAGCCGGUCCCAAGGGUAUGGCUGUUCGCCAUUUAAAGUGGUACGCGAGCUGGGUUUAGAACGUCGUGAGACAGUUCGGUCCCUAUCUGCCGUGGACGUUUGAGAUUUGAGAGGGGCUGCUCCUAGUACGAGAGGACCGGAGUGGACGAACCUCUGGUGUUCCGGUUGUCACGCCAGUGGCAUUGCCGGGUAGCUAUGUUCGGAAAAGAUAACCGCUGAAAGCAUCUAAGCGGGAAACUUGCCUCAAGAUGAGAUCUCACUGGAACCUUGAGUUCCCUGAAGGGCCGUCGAAGACUACGACGUUGAUAGGUUGGGUGUGUAAGCGCUGUGAGGCGUUGAGCUAACCAAUACUAAUUGCCCGUGAGGCUUGACCAUAUAACACCCAAGCAAUU